UGGCUUCGACGUCCUGACCGCGGCGUCCUGACGUCACGCGGCGGCCUCGCCCCGCCUCGCUCGGCCCUGCACAGCCAAUGACCGCCACGAGCUACGCUUGAGCCCGCCCUCCCGCCCACGCACUUACGCAUGAGCAUUUUAAGGCAGGCCGGAAGUCUGGGUGGGGACGGUGGCCCCGAGGGGACAAGUGAGGCCGCAUUAGCUGUUUUUGCCUCCCACGCAGCCCCGUUUUGUUGUUGUUCUCGUUCUUGGAGACAGAGUAUUGCUCUUGCUCUGUCAUCGCCCAGGAUGGAGUGCAGUGGCGCGAUCUCGGCUCACUGCAACCUCUGCCUCCCGGGUUCAAGCAAUUCUCCUGCCUCAGCCUCCAAAGUAGCCGGGAUUACAGGCGCGCGCCACUAUACCUGGCUAAUUUUUGUAUAUUUAGUAAAGACGGGGUUUCACCAUGUUGGCCAGGCUGGUCUCGAACUCCUCACCUCGUGAUCCGUCCGCCUCGGCCUCCCAAGUGCUGGGAUUACGGGCGUGAGCCACCGCGCCCGGCCGCAACCUUGUUUUGACUGAGUCAGUGGGAGCCAUUACUGUUCCUCCAUGUACACUGGCGUGACAAGAGUUCCGGGGUUGUCCCCAGCACCGUGAUGUGGAAGCCCUGGGGAGAGAAUGAUAAAGAAAGGGGGUGAGGAACAGCUCCCCCGGGAAGAGCGGGCUUCCCUAGUCAAUGAAUCUGGAAGGGCGCAGUGGAGGGGGCGCGGCGAGUUCAGAUGGAGGGAGGCUGGAAGCUGGUUGGAGGGGGAUGGGUGUCGCAUUGGCAGGGGCGCUGGGGUGGAAGUGUGUGGGGUCACAGGUGUGUAAGGGUGGGCGUGGAGCGGACCCCCAAAGGUCACUGAGGUCAGGCUGAGACAUUGGACCAAAUCUGUACAUAGGCAUUUCUCUGAACUCCGCGCCACCUGUUUCCAUCCAGGACUCGGAUACAAAUUAUCCAGUCUGCUGCAGGGACCGGUCACUGUGUCACACAUUCUGUAACAGACACAGCGAUAAAAUGAAAUGACUGGAACUUAAAUGUGAAAACUCUUUACAAGGCACACGGCACCCUCAGUGCUCAGCACAGCAGUGGGCAGCAUCCUGGUUCGCUUUUCUGCAGGGAAGUGUGUGAACGUUCACACCGAGCGGGGUCAGUCACGUCUGUCGUGAGAAGCAGGACCAGGAUGGUGGCCCAGCGGUGUCUUCAAUGAUAAGCUGGGCCCUUCACCUUGCAGGCCCCUCUCCGUCGGUCCACUCUGCGACUGCUGUCUGCCACACCCUGCCCUGAUAUCUCCUCUCUGCCAGGUUUCUCCCUCACAUCCUCAACUCAGCCAAGAGCUGGUUUCUUCCAGAAAGAGCCCUGCUGUCAGGUGAUUUAUCAGACUUCUCUUUUUUUGGAUGUUUGUUUUCAGGGUUUAGCUGAUCAAAGUGGUAUCGUUGUAACAGGCAGCUCUAAAUAUAAGUCUUCAGAGGCC
Molecule: non-coding RNA, 1490 nt
Organism: Chlorocebus sabaeus (green monkey)
Lineage: Eukaryota; Metazoa; Chordata; Mammalia; Primates; Cercopithecidae
Source: RefSeq, a predicted model, not a curated record